GAAAUAUUACAUUUAUUUAUAAAAUAGAUAUAUUAAGAAUUUAUCACUGUGCAAAUAAGAGCAGGCACCGUAUAGAGCACUUUAUAAGGGUGAAAACAAAUGUUAAUCAUAUCAAGAUUAUAUUUCAUCCCUAAGUACAAAAAAAAUCAAAACUCUUCCUGUUUUGAAAAACAAAACAAAACAAGUGCUAAGAAAAUAUCAGCUUUACGAUUAGAACAUUUACCAAAAACUAAUUUCAUUUCUUAAACAUAGCAGAACAGAGAUGAUGGAAUAUCAUAUGACAGCACAUUUAUCCACGUUGCCUCAGUACUUAUUGCUACCUACUAGGAUGAAAUGCAAACCUAAAGACUUGUGCAAAAAGCCUAAGCUUACAGAGUAGUUUGUUCUUUGAAACAACUACAAAGAUACAGCAUAUACCUCACUAAUGCCAUGCGACACUCAAACUAUAAAUGUCUAUUUGUUAUCCAGGAAUUACAGGUCUGCAUUCAAAUACAACAUAUGGUACAUACUUAAAACGUAUUUAAACUUAUGCUGAUAAUCCAUGCUUACUUGUAUUGUGUAUAUUUUUACCCUGACCACAACAACCACUUCCGAAAACCAAAUCAUGCAGGAUACCUGGUGUCCCGACUGAGCUCAGGUCUCAACAGAGUGAAAAAACACAAAACAAAAAAACAAAAGCAGGAGAGAUGCAGAUGUCAUUACACACCAAAAGAUUACAGCACCUCCUUUAUCCCCUCCCUCAUGGAUGUUUCAGAAACUUGCAUUUUUAAAGCACUUGUUCUGCUUUUACAGUUCUGUCUCUUUUUCUCCCUCAUCAUCUGUUUCUAAGUAGUAUUCGUCAUCAGUUGUUGUGUCCGAGCUGCUGUCUGAUGACUCAUCAAAGGUGCUGAGGCUGGAUACAUAACCUCUGGAGGGCAAAUGCCCCCUGGACUGGCUGUCCCCUGGAUGUAGUACUCCUGGCGAGCUAGGAAAGGUCGGAGAGGAAAGGCUGGGUGCUUUGGACAUGCGCCUGGACACUGGUGACAGAGGAGGUGUUGGAGGAGGAGUGGGUGGGGCCUCUGCAUCCCACACAAACUGGCAAAUGUUCAUGUUUGGACUCCGGAGGUGAGCAGGCUUGGAAGCUGUAGCAUUUACAUGUUGAGGAGAGUCUCCAGAGCUCCAGUUUGCCAAGCACCUGGUCAGCGAUCGAGGCAAAGAUCUUGAUCGCAUUUUACCAGGAUCACUUGGGAAAUAUGAUUUUCGACCAUCUUCAGAAGCCUGAAAGUCAUACACUGUGCUCCAAUCGGAUUUGACAGACCACUGAUCCAAAUCUCCACUAUUACCUCCACAAGAAAAGGCAGACUGAGAGAGGUCACCCACACUCAUGAAUCUGGAUCCUGUGGAAAUACGUCCCGGUCCAGAGGGUCGACUGGAGAGAACAGAACUCACAGAAAAGGACUUCCCAGGCUCAAUGCCAUACUUUAAGUCUGCAUAAGAGGAUGCCAAGUUUUCCUUGUCAUGUCCUGGGCUCACACAUGGAGGACCUACGGAUGCCCGGCUUUUUCUCGGAACUCCCAAGCUGAUCCCUUCUCCGUGCUCGCACGGAGAGGAGCAUUCUCUGCGGCGGUGCAGCUUUGGGCUGUAGAAGACGCUGUCGUCUGUUACAUCAGACGAGGAAAAUGGGGACAUUGGUGAAAGAGAGGAGAAGGGAGAGAAUGGACUCCUGGGACUAGGUGUGGAUCUCCUGAAUGAAGCUGGAAAAGCUGGACUUCUACUGGGACUUGGAUCUCUGGAAGAGAGGCUUGUUGCUUUAUAAUCUACUUGGUCUUGUUCAAGGUCUAACUGGUCAACUGUUGGACCGUGGACCGUCAGAUAAACUGGGCCUUUCUUUUCAGAAAUUUGUUCUGCACAAGCAUUUUGCAUGUCACGGUCUGUUUCUAGAGAUGAUUUUUCGGUCCAGCUGGAAUGCUGAUUUCCAACUUUUGUGUUUCCAGCAGCCGAGGACGGUAUCAGAAUGUAUCUAUCUUGCGUCCACCUGUUCGAAGCCUCUGUUUCCUGAUUGUCGUUCAGCACCAUUACUUUCUCUGGCACUGUUUCCUCUGGAAUUUUGCUACUCUCAACACUCACAUCGCUCGAUCCGCUAACAGAAGGUGCUUGUGAGGUUGACCAUCUUGUGCUUAAUUUUUGCUUUAGUUUGCUAAAGACUUGGUCUACUUUGUUGUUACUCUUGGCCCUGUCUGACUCUGACCUUGUCAAACUGGAGUUUGGUGUACUGACGCUCUUCUUCAGUGCAAAUCGGCUUCUCUUUGUGUUUUGUUCAUUAUUAACGUCCACUGAGAAAAACCUGCUUUUCCCCAUUAUAGUCUCCUUCAUGCUUUUGCUGGAGUCUUCUGUCUCCCGGGACUGACUCUCUGUUGAGCUGCUGCUGUUGGAGCUCUGACCUGAAUGACGACAUGGUUCACCUGCUGCUCC
Long non-coding RNA from Astatotilapia calliptera (eastern happy), 2451 nucleotides. The record is from Ensembl. Lineage: Eukaryota; Metazoa; Chordata; Actinopteri; Cichliformes; Cichlidae.